This 409-nucleotide ribosomal RNA is filed under the name Sphingomonas sp. RNAcentral's name for it is "bacterial SSU rRNA". It matches the Rfam family "Bacterial small subunit ribosomal RNA", at positions 10 to 447 of the family's 1533-position model. Lineage: Bacteria; Pseudomonadati; Pseudomonadota; Alphaproteobacteria; Sphingomonadales; Sphingomonadaceae. The record is from RNAcentral.
AGUUUGAUCAUGGCUCAGAACGAACGCUGGCGGCAUGCCUAACACAUGCAAGUCGAACGAAGGCUUCGGCCUUAGUGGCGCACGGGUGCGUAACGCGUGGGAAUCUGCCCUUGGGUUCGGAAUAACAGUGAGAAAUUACUGCUAAUACCGGAUGAUGACUUCGGUCCAAAGAUUUAUCGCCCAAGGAUGAGCCCGCGUAAGAUUAGCUAGUUGGUGAGGUAAAGGCUCACCAAGGCGACGAUCUUUAGCUGGUCUGAGAGGAUGAUCAGCCACACUGGGACUGAGACACGGCCCAGACUCCUACGGGAGGCAGCAGUGGGGAAUAUUGGACAAUGGGCGAAAGCCUGAUCCAGCAAUGCCGCGUGAGUGAUGAAGGCCUUAGGGUUGUAAAGCUCUUUUACCAGGGAUG